This 709-nucleotide long non-coding RNA is filed under the name Prunus persica (peach). RNAcentral describes it as "long non-coding RNA (PPER_LNC000290)". The record is from RNAcentral. Lineage: Eukaryota; Viridiplantae; Streptophyta; Magnoliopsida; Rosales; Rosaceae.
AACAAACUAACAUGUUAAAAACAAAACUAACAAUGGACAAAAUCUACACUAAAACUACUAUCCCACAUCACCACAAUUAACUAUAAGUCCAAACAAAGUCCACAUACCCAAUAUAACCGAAACCAAAGCAACACAUGAGCCUAAACGAACCUUACCACCACUAACUAAAGAAGUACCGCCGCAACCACACCCACCAUCGUAUUCGUAACAUAUUUGGGGAAAAUAUGGUUUCUAGCGAUUUACCUAUGCAUAAGAGCGAACAAAUAAAUGAAAACGACUAUAUUGGCAAAGAACAAUUGUGUGAUUUGUAUCAACCUCCGUCGAAAACGAUGUAGAUCCAAAUUUAGAGAACAUGAUCCGUGUUAGAGAGCGGGCUUUGGGAUAAUGAUUUGUUGAGAAUGCCUCAAAGUGGUGAUGGGGAACUUCAAUCAGAAUAUGACUUAGAAGAAAUCACCAUAAAGGGCUUCUUAUGCAAAACGCCUAGUGGACUUAUUUACUAACCCAAAAGAAAAAAGCGAGGAUAAAAUGAGGGAAAGAGGGGCAAUAACGCUUCUUCCUCUUCUCCCCUUCUAUGAAGUUUUUCUUUGAGACUCACAAAAAGAGAGAGCGUCUAGAGUUUUCUCCACUAAUUUAUGUGAUGUAUUGUUAAUUUCAUACUUUCUUUCAAUCAAAUAAUUAAUAAAUUCGUUUACUUAUGAUUUGGUGUUAG